Molecule: ribosomal RNA, 491 nt
Filed under: uncultured bacterium
Lineage: Bacteria
Description: partial 16S ribosomal RNA
Rfam family: Bacterial small subunit ribosomal RNA
Source: RNAcentral
GAUGAACGCUGGCUACAGGCUUAACACAUGCAAGUCGAGGGGAAACGCCGGGGAAGCUUGCUUCCCCGGGCGUCGACCGGCGCACGGGUGAGUAACGCGUAUCCAACCUGCCUCUGACUGAGGGAUAACCCGUCGAAAGUCGGCCUAAUACCUCAUGGUAUCGUCUGCGGGCAUCCAACGACGAUUAAAGAUUUCAUCGGUCAGGGAUGGGGAUGCGUCUGAUUAGCUUGUUGGCGGGGUAACGGCCCACCAAGGCUACGAUCAGUAGGGGUUCUGAGAGGAAGGUCCCCCACAUUGGAACUGAGACACGGUCCAAACUCCUACGGGAGGCAGCAGUGAGGAAUAGUGGUCAAUGGGCGAGAGCCUGAACCAGCCAAGUAGCGUGCAGGAAGACGGCCCUAUGGGUUGUAAACUGCUUUUAUGCGGGGAUAAAGUGAGGGACGGGUCCCUCAUUGCAGGUACCGCAUGAAUAAGAACCGGCUAAUUCCGUG